GAGAGAGUAACAUACAUAAGAACUGCUAAUUCUUAUACCUGAAAUUAACCCCUCAGCUCUCUCA
This 64-nucleotide transfer RNA is filed under the name Malacochersus tornieri. Its description in RNAcentral is "tRNA-Ser". The record is from RNAcentral. Lineage: Eukaryota; Metazoa; Chordata; Testudines; Testudinidae.